GUCAAAGUGGAAUUUGUCCAUGUCGUUUAUUUAAGGUUUUACAAGGCCCUGCAAAGAGUCCUCCCCUGAGUCUGGACAAGAAGAGGGUUUAGUAACAACGUGGUGAGACCUAUGAGGAAACCAAGCAACUGGCCUUGAUGCUCCAAAAAUGUCAGGUCUUGGGAAUUCCCUGGCGGGCCAGUGGUUCAGACUCUGGGCUUCCACAGCAGGGGCCAUGGGUUCCAUCCCUGGUCAGGGAACUAUAAUUCCCCCAUGCCUCGUGGGGCAGCCAAAAAAAAAAAAAAAAAAGUAAGGUCCUAAAAGACACAGGAGGGCUGAGGGUCUGCCCUGAUUAAAGAGGAUUGUCCUACUGAAUAGCACAGGAAACUCUGCUCAGUGUUAUGUGCCAGGCUGGGUGGCAGGAGGGUUUGGAAGAGAAUGGAUUCAUGUAUAUGUAAGACUGAGUCUUUUGCUGUCCACCUGUAACUAUCACACAUUUUUAAUCAGCUAUUUUCCAAUAUAAAAUAAAAAGUUAAAAAAUAAAAAAAUUUUAAAAGUGUGUAUUUUGCUCUCCGCACCCGCUUGCGCCCAGACCCCAUCGGCUGGGCCUUCUGGGUCGGCGGUGCGGGUGUAUCGGGCUCAUUGCAUGGAACGAAGGCUAGUGAAGGCCCUGUGGCGGCCUCCAUGCCCAAGACCUCCAGGCCUAGAGAGGUGGAGCUUCGAGAGGCUGAAGAGAGAUUCUCCCAGCAGAGCCGCUGGGCUGCGGGGAUUCCCUUCCUAACAGGGCGGGCAGGAUGUGGGGCCAUGUUGAAGCUGGAAUGACCUCAGAGGCUAAGGAGAAAGCACUGCCUUCUGAAGACUCUGUCCUUCUUCAGGAAGAGGAGGAAAUGCCCAGAUUACAGGAGACACAGCUUCGACCCCUCGUCUGGGAAGAUCCUACGUGCGGCGGAGCAACCAAGGCUGUGCACCACAACUAUUGAGCCUGUGCUCUAGAGCCUGGGAACUGCAACUAUUGCACCUACUAAAGCCCAUGAGCCCUAGAGCCUGUGCUCUGCAACAAGAGAAGCCUCUACAGUGAGAAGUCUGCGCACUGCAACUAGACAAGAGCCUACGUGCAGCAACGAAGACCCAGCACAGCCAAAACUAAAUACAAUUAUAUUAAAAAAUAAUAAUAAUAAAAUAAAAGUGUGUAUUUUACUGCUGAAAGAA
This 1188-nucleotide long non-coding RNA is filed under the name Bos indicus x Bos taurus (hybrid cattle). RNAcentral describes it as "lncRNA (ENSBIXG00005018368.1)". The record is from RNAcentral. Lineage: Eukaryota; Metazoa; Chordata; Mammalia; Artiodactyla; Bovidae.